ACACCCACAAAACAAAAUCACAAGGAAAAAAAACAUUUAAAAAACUCUUACAUUCCACACACACGCGCACACUCCUUCUCUCAAGCCAACUGUUGCCCUUCCCUCUUCUUCGCAUGUUCUCGGAGCUCCGGCUCCAUUAACGGAGCCCCAGCUCACAGCUCACAUCCUUUUCUUUUUCAAAAAACUAAAAAAAUUAUAACUACUCUUUUUUCGCCUUCGUUUCUUUUUUUUAUUUCAAACAUUUCUGGUCAUAUUUUCUCUUCAUUUCCAACUGCGUUCUCAGAUCUCGCAAACCGUCGAAGAUGGCCAAACCCUGGGGUGGUAUCGGCGCCUGGGCCGCCGACUCUGAGCGAGCCGAAGCGGAGGAGCUCGCGGAGGCUGCCCAAGCAGAGUCCCAGAGCUUCCCGAGCCUCAAGGAAGCCGCGAACACAAAGCCCAAGAAGAAGAAGAUGACCCUCUCCGAGUUCAACAUGGGGGGCUCUUUCUCCGCCUCCGGGCCCGCCGCCUCAAGUCGGGUCGGCCUCACUCCUGAAGAGAUGAUGCGCCUCCCUACCGGCCCCAAAGAGCGCUCUGCAGACGAAAUGCAGUUUGGUCGCCUCGGCGGUGGGUUUUCCUCGUACGGCCGCUCCGGUUCGAAUCCGGGUCGGGGAAGGGACCGUGACGACGCGGAAGGGUCGUGGGGCGGUGGUGGCAGAAGAUCCUACGGUGGAUUCGAUGACGACCGAAGGGGUCCCUCUUCUAGGGUUUCGGAUUUCGAUCAACCGUCGAGGGCAGACGAGGUUGACAAUUGGGCAUUGACCAAGAAGUCUCUUCCUUCUUCAGAUUCAGGUCGGCAGAACCGGUAUGGCUCACUCGGUGGCGGCGGCGGCGGUGGUGGCGGUGGCGGUGGCAGUGGAGGUGCCGGUGUGGGUGUUGGCGGACCUUGGUCUAGGGCAGACGAGGUUGAUAACUGGGCUGUUGGGAAGAAGCCUGCUCCUGCAAGAACAUCCACAUUUGGGUCUGGAUUUCGCGAUUCGGGGCCGGAGCCCGAUCGCUGGGCGAGAGGCGGACGCGAGGUGGACGGCGUUGAGAGAGAGCGACCCAGAUUGGUUUUGGAUCCUCCAAAAGGCGAGUUGGGCGUGAAUGAGUCAGUGCAGGUUGUGAAGACCAAUAAGCCCAGCCCGUUCGGGGCAGCUCGACCUAGAGAGGAGAUUUUGGCCGAGAAGGGGUUGGAUUGGAAGAAGUUGGACUCAGAAAUUGACGCCAAGAAGACGAGUCGGCCAACGAGUGCGCACUCAAGCAGGCCUUCCAGUGCUCAGUCAAGUCGGUCUGAAGGUCCUGGGCUGCAUGGGAGUGAGAAUGUGGUGAAGCCGCGGCCCAAAGUGAACCCAUUUGGUGAUGCCAAGCCAAGGGAAGUUUUGCUGGAGGAGCGAGGUAAAGAUUGGCGGAAGAUGGAUCUCGAGUUGGAGCAUCUCAGUGUUGACAGACUCGAAACAGAAGAGGAAAGGAAAUUAAAGGAAGAAAUUGAUCAUCUAAAGAAGGAACUUGAGAAAGAAUCUCCAGAUAAAACGAACAGCGAAACUGGGCAAGAGUCUGGUGGUGACCAGGCAAGUCUACGCGAUAUAGUACUUCAGAAGGAAAGGGAAUUGGAGACACUGAUCCACGAUUUGGAUGACAAAGUUCGCUUUGGUCAGAAGGCCAUCGAUAGACCUGGGUCUGGGGCAGGCAGGCCUGGGUCUGGGGCAGGCAGGCCUGGGUCUGGAGCAGGCAGGGCUGGUAGCUUUCUUGACAGGACACCUUCUCAAUCUGGGUCAUUUGAAGAUUCUAGAAGUACGGAAUUCAUCGAUAGGCCUCACUCACAUGGCAAAGGAGAUGCGUGGACAAGGCCUUUUGAUGACAGAAGGUCAUUUCAAGGUGGCAGGGAAAGAGGAUUUCUGGGGAACAGAGACAUGGGCAGGUGAGGAUAAUGCGUUUCUUCUCUUUCCUUUUUACAGUCAUAGGGAGGAAGUUAACCUGUUUAAGGAAGAAACUUGAUCUGUUAUGCUUUGCAAUGGCAAGGUCAAGAGAAAGAUGGUGAGAAAGUGUGCUGUUUCUAUGGAUUCAUUGAAUUGCCUUCUACUUUUGACAACCUGAACCAAAUAAUAUUUUGCCCCACUCUUUUUGUUUUCUUCAUUUUGCUCUGGGAAAUGGAGCAAGCAUUAUUGAUUACCGGCACUGGGAACUCUUACCUUGAUCUAUUGUUACAUCUUGAAACUAUGUAAAAUUGCAAAUUACUUUUCUUUUUUUUCUUUCUUUUGUCUGUUUCAUAUGAAGGAGCCUUGUAUUGCUCUUAGGAUCCACAUUUACUGAACACUAUGGGACUCAUUAGUCUAUUUUUGUGACAAUUGUCUGGGUGUUAUACAGAUAAUUUGGUUCUAUUGUGCA
Molecule: RNA transcript, 2403 nt
Organism: Prunus dulcis (almond)
Lineage: Eukaryota; Viridiplantae; Streptophyta; Magnoliopsida; Rosales; Rosaceae
Gene name: eukaryotic translation initiation factor 4B2
Exons: 3
Source: RefSeq, a predicted model, not a curated record